UUGGAUUUGUGGUGUGUCCAGUCGGCCUUUGCUCUUUGAGUGAUUGUGCUGUACUGGUCUGCCAUGUUUGGGUGGAAUCUGUGUGGCAUUAAGUUGUCGUGCAGGGGAUGCCCAUCGUUUACUGUGAAAAAAUUAGAGUGUUCAAAGCAGGCUUAUGCCGUUGAAUAUAUUAGCAUGGAAUAAUGAUAUAGGACCUUGGUACUAUUUUGUUGGUUUGCGCACUAAGGUAAUGAUUAAGAGGGACAGUUGGGGGUAUUUGUAUUCCAUUGUCGGAGGUGAAAUUCUUGGAUUUUUGGAAGACAAACUACUGCGAAAGCAUUUACCAAGGAUGUUUUCAUUAAUCAAGAACGAAAGUUAGGGGAUCGAAGAUGAUUAGAUACCAUCGUAGUCUUAACCAUAAACUAUGCCGACAAGGGAUUGGCGG
This 424-nucleotide ribosomal RNA is filed under the name Pseudo-nitzschia sp. RCC5321. Its description in RNAcentral is "SSU rRNA". It matches the Rfam family "Eukaryotic small subunit ribosomal RNA", at positions 634 to 1059 of the family's 1831-position model. The record is from RNAcentral. Lineage: Eukaryota; Bacillariophyta; Bacillariophyceae; Bacillariales; Bacillariaceae.